This 434-nucleotide ribosomal RNA is filed under the name uncultured bacterium. RNAcentral describes it as "partial 16S ribosomal RNA". It matches the Rfam family "Bacterial small subunit ribosomal RNA", at positions 341 to 792 of the family's 1533-position model. RNAcentral also lists the same sequence under 1 other name. The record is from RNAcentral.
ACGGGAGGCAGCAGUGGGGAAUAUUGCACAAUGGGGGAAACCCUGAUGCAGCGACGCCGCGUGAGCGAAGAAGUAUUUCGGUAUGUAAAGCUCUAUCAGCAGGGAAGAAAAUGACGGUACCUGACUAAGAAGCUCCGGCUAAAUACGUGCCAGCAGCCGCGGUAAUACGUAUGGAGCAAGCGUUAUCCGGAUUUACUGGGUGUAAAGGGAGCGUAGACGGAACAGCAAGUCUGAUGUGAAAGGCGGGGGCUCAACUCCUGGACUGCAUUGGAAACUGUUGAUCUUGAGUGUCGGAGAGGUAAGCGGAAUUCCUAGUGUAGCGGUGAAAUGCGUAGAUAUUAGGAGGAACACCAGUGGCGAAGGCGGCUUACUGGACGAUCACUGACGUUGAGGCUCGAAAGCGUGGGGAGCAAACAGGAUUAGAUACCCUGGUA